CCGGCGCACGGGUGAGUAACACGUAUCCAACCUGCCGUCUACUCUUGGACAGCCUUCUGAAAGGAAGAUUAAUACAAGAUGGCAUCAUGAGUCCGCAUGUUCACAUGAUUAAAGGUAUUCCGGUAGACGAUGGGGAUGCGUUCCAUUAGAUAGUAGGCGGGGUAACGGCCCACCUAGUCUUCGAUGGAUAGGGGUUCUGAGAGGAAGGUCCCCCACGUUGGAACUGAGACACGGUCCAA
RNAcentral lists this ribosomal RNA (239 nucleotides) under uncultured bacterium. RNAcentral describes it as "partial 16S ribosomal RNA". It matches the Rfam family "Bacterial small subunit ribosomal RNA", at positions 95 to 334 of the family's 1533-position model. The record is from RNAcentral.